This 610-nucleotide long non-coding RNA is filed under the name Gossypium barbadense (sea-island cotton). RNAcentral's name for it is "long non-coding RNA (GBAR_LNC021446)". Lineage: Eukaryota; Viridiplantae; Streptophyta; Magnoliopsida; Malvales; Malvaceae. The record is from RNAcentral.
GAUCAACGAAUUCUUGAGACCUAAUCAAGAACCAAACAAGAAAGUCAAAACAAGAGACUCAAUUUGCAAGGUUUGAAGUUAAAGAAACACCCCCAUUUACAGGCAACCUUGUCAGAAUUUGGAGAUCAAUAACCUUGUCAGAGCCCUAGUUCUUGCUUGAAAAUGAUGAGGCCUCUUCGAUUUUCCUGGAGCUUAAACAAUAAACAAGCAGAAAAAUUGACGAGCGUCAAAAUUAUUGAAUUGAAUUGAUUGCGGGAAAAAGAUGGGGAGUUAUAAGAUCUGAGAAAAACUCACUGCCAGUCCUCCAGUUUUUUUACAGUUACCUUCAGGAACAAAAGAAGGAAAAUAAAAGGGAAAAUGUAAGGGGCGAUUCUGUUUGAUGUUGGGAGGGAGAGGGUGGAGGUGGAGGUGGCUUCCGGGUUAGGAGGGUAAAACAGGGCAGAAGAAAUCGGGAGAACCUAAAAUGAAGCAAAACUGAGCUUUCCUUCUGGAAUAGAAAGCAGCAAAUAUGACGGAAUAGGUGGGUUUAACAAAAUAGGGCUGUAAUGGUAUAUCCAUUACAGCGAACUAAACAUGGUGUAAUUUUGUAAGCAUAAGACUUUAGUUUUUC